UCUCUAGCUGCUCUUCACCUCCAUGCAGUGCACAGGUUAAGUGACAUCUGCCCUUAAUCUGUGGCUAUAAAACUUGGUCCAGGGAAGUUUUCCUCCCUAUCCUCAAGCUCCAGCCAGAUUGCAGCGUGUGUGAGUGUGGUAGGUCUUCUGUCCGCACCAGUGUUCACCUCUCCCCUGCCCAAGUUUGCCCAGUCCCAGGGUCUAGUAUGCCAUCCCUCUGUCAGUGGUGACCACGCCCACUGACUGCCUACCUCGCCGUGGCCAAGACGUCUCAAGGAGUGACCAGCCCGCAUGACCCUCGUUCCACGUUCUUCUAAGAACACCUAGACGAGGUGGUAUUUGAAGAAGUCUACUCCAACGCCUGCUCCUCAAGUGGAUGAAGCCAUCUAACUGGGUAUUGAAUAGAGGGAUCUAGAACCACUUCACUGCAACAAAG
Zea mays is the source of this 436-nucleotide long non-coding RNA. RefSeq lists it as uncharacterized. NCBI's taxonomy places the organism in Eukaryota, Viridiplantae, Streptophyta, Magnoliopsida, Poales, Poaceae. The transcript is spliced from 2 exons. The record is from RefSeq and is a predicted model, not a curated record.